CUCUGGUUAGCUCAGUUUGUAGAGCGCUCCACUUGUAAUGGAGAGGUCCCGAGUUCGAUACAAGGACCAGACG
Non-coding RNA from Ixodes scapularis (black-legged tick), 73 nucleotides. The record is from Rfam. NCBI's taxonomy places the organism in Eukaryota, Metazoa, Arthropoda, Arachnida, Ixodida, Ixodidae.